AUAUCAUUGGUGAUGUAUCGUCUU
This 24-nucleotide microRNA is filed under the name Gossypium raimondii (Peruvian cotton). Its description in RNAcentral is "gra-miR8712". The record is from miRBase by way of RNAcentral. Lineage: Eukaryota; Viridiplantae; Streptophyta; Magnoliopsida; Malvales; Malvaceae.